UGGGCGUAAAGCGUCCGCAGGCGGCUUUUCAAGUCUGCUGUUAAAACGUGGAGCUUAACUCCAUCAUGGCAGUGGAAACUGAAAGGCUUGAGUAUGGUAGGGGCAGAGGGAAUUCCCGGUGUAGCGGUGAAAUGCGUAGAUAUCGGGAAGAACACCAGUGGCGAAGGCGCUCUGCUGGGCCAUUACUGACGCUCAUGGACGAAAGCCAGGGGAGCGAAAGGGAUUAGAUACCCCUGUAGUCCUGGCCGUAAACGAUGAACACUAGGUGUCGGGGGAAUCGACCCCUUCGGUGUCGUAGCUAACGCGUUAAGUGUUCCGCCUGGGGAGUACGCACGCAAGUGUGAAACUCAAAGGAAUUGACGGGGGCCCGCACAAGCGGUGGAGUAUGUGGUUUAAUUCGAUGCAACGCGAAGAACCUUACCAGGGUUUGACAUCCUGCGAACCUCUUAGAAAUUUGAGGGUGCCUUCGGGAAUGCAGUGACAGGUGGUGCAUGGCUGUCGUCAGCUCGUGUCGUGAGAUGUUGGGUUAAGUCCCGCAACGAGCGCAACCCACGUUUUUAGUUGCCAGCAUUUAGUUGGGCACUCUAGAAAGACCGCCGGUGAUAAACCGGAGGAAGGUGUGGAUGACGUCAAGUCAUCAUGCCCCUUACACCCUGGGCUACACACGUACUACAAUGCUACGGACAAAGGGCAGCAAACUCGCGAGAGCUAGCAAAUCCCAUAAACCGUGGCUCAGUUCAGAUCGUAGGCUGCAACUCGCCUACGUGAAGUAGGAAUCGCUAGUAAUCGCAGGUCAGCAUACUGCGGUGAAUACGUUCCCGGGCCUUGUACACACCGCCCGUCACACCAUGGAAGUUGGCCAUGCCCGAAGUCGUUACUCCAACCC
Molecule: ribosomal RNA, 886 nt
Filed under: marine metagenome
Description: bacterial SSU rRNA
Rfam family: Bacterial small subunit ribosomal RNA
Source: RNAcentral